Molecule: ribosomal RNA, 465 nt
Filed under: uncultured bacterium
Lineage: Bacteria
Description: partial 16S ribosomal RNA
Rfam family: Bacterial small subunit ribosomal RNA
Source: RNAcentral
CAGACGGGAGGCAGCAGGAGGGAAUCUGUAACAAUGGGAGAAAGAAGGAGGGAGAAAAGAAGAGGGGGGGAAGAAGGUCUUCGGAUCGUAAAACCCUGUUGUUAGAGAAGAAAGUGCGUGAGAGUAACUGUUCACGUUUCGACGGUAUCUAACCAGAAAGCCACGGCUAACUACGUGCCAGCAGCCGCGGUAAUACGUAGGUGGCAAGCGUUAUCCGGAUUUAUUGGGCGUAAAGGGAACGCAGGCGGUCUUUUAAGUCUGAUGUGAAAGCCUUCGGCUUAACCGGAGUAGUGCAUUGGAAACUGGGAGACUUGAGUGCAGAAGAGGAGAGUGGAACUCCAUGUGUAGCGGUGAAAUGCGUAGAUAUAUGGAAGAACACCAGUGGCGAAAGCGGCUCUCUGGUCUGUAACUGACGCUGAGGUUCGAAAGCGUGGGUAGCAAACAGGAUUAGAUACCCCUGUAGUC